Molecule: non-coding RNA, 312 nt
Organism: Dermacentor albipictus
Lineage: Eukaryota; Metazoa; Arthropoda; Arachnida; Ixodida; Ixodidae
Source: RefSeq, a predicted model, not a curated record
CAAAGCGGAAUAACUGCUCCGGCGUGCGGACCAUUGCACGGUGGCCAAAAUUGACCGGAGCAACGUCACCGAUGCUACUGCCACCGGCAAAGGAGGAAAGAUCCAACGUUCUAGCGCUUGCUUGCGAUGGCUCAGAAAACAACGUCAAAGGCAUGUACGAAUGUUACUCGUUGAUUGAAGAAGACGGAGUGAUAAUGAUGAGAACAUACCUUAAUAUUACGCGAUUCGAGCGUGUGACAGCGGCGUUACCCUUCUUGCCAAACGACAGGUUUCCGCAAGCCAACACGUUGACAGGCCUUCUCACUCACGGCG